This 61-nucleotide transfer RNA is filed under the name Batracomorphus lineatus. RNAcentral describes it as "tRNA-Thr". Lineage: Eukaryota; Metazoa; Arthropoda; Insecta; Hemiptera; Cicadellidae. The record is from RNAcentral.
GUUUUUAUAGUUUAAAAAAAACAUUAAUUUUGUAAAUUAAAAUUAGUUAAUCUUAAAAACA